Molecule: ribosomal RNA, 500 nt
Filed under: uncultured bacterium
Lineage: Bacteria
Description: partial 16S ribosomal RNA
Rfam family: Bacterial small subunit ribosomal RNA
Source: RNAcentral
AUUGAACGCUGGCGGCAGGCCUAACACAUGCAAGUCGAGCGGAUGACGGGAGCUUGCUCCUUGAUUCAGCGGCGGACGGGUGAGUAAUGCCUAGGAAUCUGCCUGGUAGUGGGGGACAACGUUUCGAAAGGAACGCUAAUACCUCAUACGUCCUACGGGAGAAAGCAGGGGACCUUCGGGCCUUGCGCUAUCAGAUGAGCCCAGGUCGGAUUAGCUAGUGGGUGGGGUAAUGGCUCACCAAGGCGACGAUCCGUAACUGGUGUGAGAGGAUGAUCAGUCACACUGGAACUGAGACACGGUCCAGACUCCUACGGGAGGCAGCAGUGGGGAAUAGUGGACAAUGGGCGAAAGCCUGAUCCAGCAAUGCCGCGUGUGUGAAGAAGGUCUUCGGAUUGUAAAGCACUUUAAGUUGGGAGGAAGGGCAGUAAGUUAAUACCUUGCUGUUUUGACGUUACCGGCAGAAUAAGCACCGGCUAACUCUGUGCCAGCAGCCGCAGUAA